This 73-nucleotide transfer RNA is filed under the name Stegodyphus mimosarum. It matches the Rfam family "tRNA". Rfam says of the family: Transfer RNA (tRNA) molecules are approximately 80 nucleotides in length. Their secondary structure includes four short double-helical elements and three loops (D, anti-codon, and T loops). Lineage: Eukaryota; Metazoa; Arthropoda; Arachnida; Araneae; Eresidae. The record is from Rfam by way of RNAcentral.
GCUUUCAUGGUGUAGUGGUCAGCAUGCUCGACGCGUAACCGAGAGGUCCGUGGUUCGACUCCCGGCGAGGGCA